UGCGCAGAGCCGCCAUGUUACCAACCCAUCGAGAUGCGCGCACCCGACCACCACAGACAGCGCCUGGGUGCGCGUUCACGAGGGUGAGGAGAACAACCAUGACUGGCAGAAAGGAAAAUAACUGGCAUGAAAUUUACUGCAGGAUAAACGCUCCCGAAUAGCUGCAUCUGAUAAUCCUGGACUACACACAAACCGAAUACCACCACAGACAUAUUUGGAUUAAAAUCACACAAGGGACACAUUAGAUGCAGAACAAAUUGUGAGGACGCAGGGACAUACAACAUAUACAUGAAACACAGCGGAUUUUGUGAACGCAGAGGAGUCCUGAUCACUUUGGUUUAAUUAAUCGUCCUGAUGAGACACAUGAAUGAGACAGAAGCAGCUGACGAGAACCUGACAGCAGCAGAAGAAGAAGAAGAAGAAGAGAUGUGACGUCACCCCCAGUGGUUCAGAGUCAGAACAUCAUCAUGUGCACAUCUCCUCCUCCUCCUCCUGCUGACCGACUGGAGCAUUACAACGAUCUGUGCCUCCACAGACUCUUUCCACAAUAAAUGAAACUAAAACAUGAAAACGCUGUGUGUCUGGGAAACAUUGCACAUGUAACAAAGCAAUGAGAAGAUAAAUUAAUUAUUACAUCUGCUCAGAAACAUCAUAUCUUUACAGUCACAGUGCACUUUGAUAGAGAGUGUGUGAGCGAGAGAUGAUCUAACACCAGUAGCUCCUCCUGACGCUGAUUCUGAUUCCAGUUCAUUUAAAAACUAACAAUAAAAUAACAAGACAAAGUUUUUGAACAUGGAAGUGGAUCUUCAGAUACUUUAUGAAA
Pleuronectes platessa (European plaice) is the source of this 823-nucleotide long non-coding RNA. RefSeq lists it as uncharacterized. NCBI's taxonomy places the organism in Eukaryota, Metazoa, Chordata, Actinopteri, Pleuronectiformes, Pleuronectidae. The record is from RefSeq and is a predicted model, not a curated record. The transcript is spliced from 4 exons.